RNAcentral lists this ribosomal RNA (253 nucleotides) under uncultured bacterium. Its description in RNAcentral is "partial 16S ribosomal RNA". It matches the Rfam family "Bacterial small subunit ribosomal RNA", at positions 524 to 776 of the family's 1533-position model. The record is from RNAcentral.
GACGAAGGGGGCUAGCGUUGUUCGGAAUUACUGGGCGUAGAGCGCGUGUAGGUGGUUGUCCAAGUUGGAUGUGAAAGCCUUGAGCUCAACUCAAGAAAUGCAUUCAGGACUGGAUGGCUAGAGGACCGGAGAGGAUAGUGGAAUUCCCAGUGUAGUGGUGAAAUACGUAGAGAUUGGGAAGAACACCAGUGGCGAAGGCGGCUAUCUGGACGGUUUCUGACACUAAGACUCGAAAGCGUGGGGAGCAAACAGG